This 893-nucleotide ribosomal RNA is filed under the name uncultured Mycoplasma sp. Its description in RNAcentral is "bacterial SSU rRNA". The stretch from base 3 to 526 matches the Rfam family "Bacterial small subunit ribosomal RNA", at positions 30 to 543 of the family's 1533-position model. The record is from RNAcentral. Lineage: Bacteria; Bacillati; Mycoplasmatota; Mollicutes; Mycoplasmatales; Mycoplasmataceae.
GACGAACGCUGGCGGCGUGCCUAAUACAUGCAAGUAGAACGCUGAAGGAGGAGCUUGCUUCUCUGGAUGAGUUGCGAACGGGUGAGUAACGCGUAGGUAACCUGCCUGGUAGCGGGGGAUAACUAUUGGAAACGAUAGCUAAUACCGCAUAAUAGUAGAUGUUGCAUGACAUUUGCUUGAAAGGUGCAAUUGCAUCACUACCAGAUGGACCUGCGUUGUAUUAGCUAGUUGGUGGGGUAACGGCUCACCAAGGCGACGAUACAUAGCCGACCUGAGAGGGUGAUCGGCCACACUGGGACUGAGACACGGCCCAGACUCCUACGGGAGUCAGCAGUAGGGAUUCUUCGGCAAUGGACUGAAGUCUGACCGAGCAACGCCGCGUGAGUGUGGAAGGUUUUCGGAUCGUUUAGCUCUAUUGUAUGAGAAGAACGAUUGUGAAGGUGGAAUUGUACACUGGUACGGUUUUUUACGGAAAGGUCGGCUAACUUUGUUCCGUUGCCGCGUGUUGACCUGGGUCCCGACUUUGGUCGGAUUAUUGAGCGUGAAGGGAUGGGAGGGGUGUUUUUUUGGAUGUUAAGGUGUGGCUGCCAUGUGAUGUUUGGAACUGGUGUUGUGAUGCGUGAUGUGGAAGUGGUGUGCCUUGUUUGUGUUUGAUUGUGGGUUGUUGUGGAGCGCUGUGGUGUAGUGUGUUUUGUUUUUUUUUGUGUGGUUGUGUGGGUGGGUGUGUGAUGAGUUGUUUGAUGAAUUGGUGUUUUUGUGGUGUUGUUGGUGCUCGGCUGCGCUGUGGCGGUGGAAACAAAAAAAGAAUGAUAUAAUGUGUGUGUGUGCUGCUUGUGUGCAUGCUUUAGCUGGUUGUGAUGGUGUGUGUGGUGCUUGUAGAUGUAUGUUGUGUG